Molecule: transfer RNA, 69 nt
Filed under: Heterocephalus glaber (naked mole-rat)
Lineage: Eukaryota; Metazoa; Chordata; Mammalia; Rodentia; Bathyergidae
Rfam family: tRNA
About the family: Transfer RNA (tRNA) molecules are approximately 80 nucleotides in length.
Source: Rfam by way of RNAcentral
GGGAAUGUAGCUCAGUGGUGGAGCACCUGCCUGGCAAGUAUGAGGGCCUGAGUUCGAUUCCUGGUACCA